RNAcentral lists this ribosomal RNA (512 nucleotides) under uncultured bacterium. Its description in RNAcentral is "partial 16S ribosomal RNA". It matches the Rfam family "Bacterial small subunit ribosomal RNA", at positions 28 to 523 of the family's 1533-position model. The record is from RNAcentral.
GACGAACGCUGGCGGCGUGCCUAAUACAUGCAAGUCGAGCGGAUUGAUGGGAGCUUGCUCCCUGAUAUCAGCGGCGGACGGGUGAGUAACACGUGGGCAACCUGCCUAUAAGACUGGGAUAACUUCGGGAAACCGGAGCUAAUACCGGAUAAUCCCUUUCCUCUCAUGAGGAGAGGCUGAAAGAUGGUUUACGCUAUCACUUAUAGACGGGCCCGCGGCGCAUUAGCUAGUUGGUGAGGUAACGGCUCACCAAGGCAACGAUGCGUAGCCGACCUGAGAGGGGGAUCGGCCACACUGGGAGUGAGACACGGCCCAGACUCCUACGGGAGGCAGCAGUAGGGAAUCUUCCGCAAUGGACGAAAGUCUGACGGAGCAACGCCGCGUGAGUGAUGAAGGUUUUCGGAUCGUAAAACUCUGUUGUUAGGGAAGAGCAAGUACGAGAGUAACUGCUCGUACCUUGACGGUACCUAACCAGAAAGCCACGGCUAACUACGUGCCAGCAGCCGCCGUAA